UUCGAAGCAACGCGAAGAACCUUACCAGGCCUUGACAUGCUAGGGGACCUAGGUGAAAGCCUGGGGUGCCCGCGAGGAGCCCUAGCACAGGUGCUGCAUGGCCGUCGUCAGCUCGUGUCGUGAGAUGUUGGGUUAAGUCCCGCAACGAGCGCAACCCCUGCCCUUAGUUGCCAGCGGGUUGGGCCGGGCACUCUAAGGGGACUGCCUGCGAAAGCAGGAGGAAGGCGGGGACGACGUCUGGUCAUCAUGGCCCUUACGGCCUGGGCGACACACGUGCUACAAUGCCCACUACAGAGCGAGGCGACCCAGCGAUGGGGAGCGAAUCGCAAAAAGGUGGGCGUAGUUCGGAUUGGGGUCUGCAACCCGACCCCAUGAAGCCGGAAUCGCUAGUAAUCGCGGAUCAGCCAUGCCGCGGUGAAUACGUUCCCGGGCCUU
This 435-nucleotide ribosomal RNA is filed under the name uncultured Thermus sp. RNAcentral's name for it is "bacterial SSU rRNA". It matches the Rfam family "Bacterial small subunit ribosomal RNA", at positions 950 to 1382 of the family's 1533-position model. Lineage: Bacteria; Thermotogati; Deinococcota; Deinococci; Thermales; Thermaceae. The record is from RNAcentral.